Molecule: long non-coding RNA, 2985 nt
Filed under: Sus scrofa (pig)
Lineage: Eukaryota; Metazoa; Chordata; Mammalia; Artiodactyla; Suidae
Description: lncRNA (ENSSSCG00050022850.1)
Source: RNAcentral
AAGUUUCCUCAUCUACAAAACAGGAGUAAUAGCUGAGCCCAUCUCACAGGGUGGAGUAAGAAUUAAAUUCUGAGCACACAGAAGGCAAUCCGGAAAUGUCAUUAUUAUCAAAGGUAAUAUGACCCAGGAAAAUCUACACAUACCCACACACCCACCCACCCACGCCCUCCUCAGAAACCAGUUUCCUUAGGAGAGAGGAGCAAGGCUACCUCCUGAAAGGUUUCUAUUGUCAUACCUUGCCAACCGGUUUGCUCUAAUCCAAGUUCCGAAGUGCCUUUUAUGAAUGGCCCAGUUUUCGAUUUGCCUUAAAUUUUAAAUUCCUUGACACCACAUAAACCCAAUAAAUUAGACAAGAGUACAGAAUACGUAAUCCUUGCGGAAGGCAUGGAGAUGGUGCGAUAAAUUUUCAUGCAGCUCUCACCUUUAUAACUUAGUCCAGACAGUGCAGAAACACCAUCACUCUCAUGGCUAACAGUUCUGCAGACUAUUGAGAUGAAGAGAGCCUGUGAGGGCCAGAGGGAUCUGCACUGACCAAAGCAUUUUCUAUUUUCCCUGCUUGACCUGAAGUCAGAUUCUAAGGAUCAGAAGGGGCCAUAGGGAGUUCCUGCUGUGCCUCAGUGGGUUAAGAACCCAACUAGUGUCUGCAAGGAGGCAGGUUCGAUCCUUGACAUCACUCAGGAGUUAAGGACCCAGUGUUGCCACAAGCUGCAGCAUAGGUCACAGAUGUGGCUAGGAUCCAAUGUGGCCAGGGCUAUGGUAUAGGUUGCAGCUGCAACUCCAGUUCAACCCCUAGCCCAGGAACUUCCAUAUGCUGCAGGGUAUGGCCCCAAAAAGACCAAAAAAAAAAAAAAAAAGACUAAAAGAGGAAAGGGAGACUCGUGGUCUAAAAUUAAUUUGAGGAUGGAAGGAAUGAAGGUGGCUCAGCAGAGCAAAUGAAGGCUUCACAGAGAAGGAAGCAUGAGGGGUGGGGCUUAAAGAGAGUUAGGAUUAAAGAGGGAGAUAGAAGCAAGGAAGGAUUUGAGCCCAGUGUGAAGGACAGCAGAAGACUGCUAGUUGUAGCACCAGGGCUGUGCCAUGAUGAGGGAGGGAGGGACACAAUGAAGAGACAUCUCUUCCGAGAGGGCGUGGGUCCCCAAGGCUCCAGGUCCAUUCCUGCCCUUCUUUAGCAACCACAAAAGACAGUGAUUUCUUUAACUAUCUGGGGAAAGACCAAACGAAGAAGCUUAAAUAUGAUCUAAGCCUAAGUCCAUGGUCUUCCCAGGAAGUUUAAAAAGGAGAACUUGAGAAAAUACUUCUGCUUCUGAGCCAUGGUGAGAAAAAUGAGAUUUCCCAGUUGUCUCAAGCAUCGAUCCACAAAUUCAGUGAAAAAGAUCUUGCCUCUUAUUUAUUUAAAAAAAAAACCCUGGAACAAGCUCUGCUUGGUCAAGGUUAAGGGAUUUUUUUUUAAGAGAUAGCUCAAUUACAAAAAUAACAUUAGUUUUGGUCUUUUGAUAGCCCACAGAAUUAAAUUUUCUAAGAAAACCCACGAUUUGGUUUUUUUAAUUUCUAGGAAUAUUACUACUUACCUCCCUUUGGUUUUAAAUAUGAUAUGAUACAGAGUAUUAUUAAUAAUAAACACUUCAUAUAUGUUAUUCCCAUUCAUCAUCAGAGAACCCUAGUAGGUAGAUAUUACAGACUGAAGCAUAGUGACAUAGUUACUUGUCCAAAGUCCUAGGGAUUGUCAGUGACAGAAUGAAGACUCAAACUUAGGUCUCUGGUGCCAAAUCCUUUGAAGGUCACCACCUGUGAAAUGCUUUCACUCCCACUGCAGUCCUAAAUCUUAUAACAGCUCAGCCAGUCAAGCUUCGUCUAUUGAAACAUAAGCAAAUACAAACAUAAGGAAGGUACAUUAAAAGCUAAAGCACAUAUUGGUUUGGGGGAGGAGGUUAGGUUUUUUUGGUUUGGGGGUUUUUUUGGACUGCACCAGUGGCGCUCGGAAGUUGCCGGACCAGGGACUGAAUUUGAGCCACAGCUGCAACCACAUUGGAUCCUUAACCCACUGCGCCAUAGCAGGAACUCCCCACAAAUUGUUUGAAAAUUCUGGAACACCCUGCUCUCUGAAAAUGGCCAACCAAAAAGCUUGACAUUUUUCAGGUUGAAAUCUUUAGUAGACGUGGUUUUUCAUGUGCCCAGCCCUGAUUCCUCACUGAGAGUCACCAUUAAUCCUUCUGGGUAACUUCACUUUAAUGGCCUUAGAGUCUUCUUUAAGCUCAUCCUUUUCCGCCCCAACUUUCUUCCUCAAAUAUGAAUGACUUUUAAAGACUUGUUCCUGCCUCAGGCACUUGACACUUGCCAUUCUCUCUGCAGGGAACUCUCUUUCCCCAAUAUCCACAUGCCUGGUUUGGCUCAUCACUCCAACCCAAAUAUCACCUCCUCCAAGGGGCCUGCUAGGAUUACACUAUGUCAUGCUACCCCCACUCAGCUCCUCAUUUGCUUCUUGUACUUUCUCUCUAGUCUUUGUCAUUAUCAGAGAUUCUUAUUCACUGGACAUGCAAACUCCACCCAACUUAAGAGAAAGAAUCAAAGUUAAUACAGAAUAAAUGAACCAGAUGCCUCACAUUUCAUAAACAAACCAUACCCUCAAGGGAAAGUUCCUCAAAGUAAAUUCAAAAUAAGGAAAGACACCAAUAUUGAAUAUUUUGCUGGCUUAUAUAGAGAAACACUCAAAGGUGAUGCACACAGAAAAUUUCUACCAAACAACAGUACAUCAACCUCUUCUUCCUGCUGUUUAACACUCUUCCCUCCGCCAAUAUUGUCCUCCGCAAUCCUUAAUGUUUCUAAAAUAACUUUUUAACUACGGCUAUGAAUUAUUUCCUACAUUGCCUCCUCUAUGAAAUAGGUUAGGUUGCAAAAAUCAGCUAAGAAAAGAUUGCUAAUUAAGCUAUCCAACAUAGAGUACAUCUUCCCUUCCUGAAAACUUUGAGCAAUCUUCCCAACAGAUUCCUC